RNAcentral lists this ribosomal RNA (402 nucleotides) under uncultured prokaryote. RNAcentral's name for it is "bacterial SSU rRNA". It matches the Rfam family "Bacterial small subunit ribosomal RNA", at positions 355 to 774 of the family's 1533-position model. The record is from RNAcentral.
UAGGGAAUAUUAGAAAUGGACGAAAGUCUGAUCUAGCAACACCGCGUGUGCGAAGAAGGCCUUCGGGUUGUAAAGCACUUUUUGGAAGGAUUAGGAAGGAAUGUACUUCCAGAAUAAGUCUCGGCUAACUACGUGCCAGCAGCCGCGGUAACACGUAGGGGGCAAGCGUUGUUCGGAAUUACUGGGCGUAAAGGGCAUGUAGGCGGUUUAGUAAGCUUGGCGUGAAAGACCACAGCUCAACUGUGGGGUUGCGUUGAGAACUGCUGAACUUGAGUUACGGAGAGGGAGCUAGAAUUCCUGGUGUAGAGGUGAAAUUCGUAGAGAUCGGGAGGAACAUCAGUGGCGAAAGCGGCCUCCUGGACCAUUCCUGACACUCAGACGCGAAAGCUAGGGUAGCAAACG